GACCAUUCCACGGUUUCCGCGCCGCAGCUAACGCAUUAAGUGCCCCGCCUGGGGAGUACGGCCGCAAGGCUAAAACUCAAAGGAAUUGACGGGGGCCCGCACAAGCGGCGGAGCAUGCGGAUUAAUUCGAUGCAACGCGAAGAACCUUACCAAGGCUUGACAUGUUCUCGAUCGCCGUAGAGAUACGGUUUCCCCUUUGGGGCGGGUUCACAGGUGGUGCAUGGUUGUCGUCAGCUCGUGUCGUGAGAUGUUGGGUUAAGUCCCGCAACGAGCGCAACCCUCGUUCCAUGUUGCCAGCACGUCNUGGUGGGGACUCAUGGGAGACUGCCGGGGUCAACUCGGAGGAAGGUGAGGACGACGUCAAAUCAUCAUGCCCCUUAUGUCUUGGGCUUCACGCAUGCUACAAUGGCCGGUACAAUGGGUUGCGAUACUGUGAGGUGGAGCUAAUCCCAAAAAGCCGGUCUCAGUUCGGAUUGGGGUCUGCAACUCGACCCCAUGAAGUCGGAGUCGCUAGUAAUCGCAGAUCAGCAACGCUGCGGUGAAUACGUUCCCGGGCCUUGUACACACCGCCCGUCAAGUCACGAAAGU
This 588-nucleotide ribosomal RNA is filed under the name Micrococcus sp. RNAcentral describes it as "bacterial SSU rRNA". It matches the Rfam family "Bacterial small subunit ribosomal RNA", at positions 827 to 1411 of the family's 1533-position model. The record is from RNAcentral. Lineage: Bacteria; Bacillati; Actinomycetota; Actinomycetes; Micrococcales; Micrococcaceae.